UUUUUUUUUUUUUUUUCCCUUUAAUGACUCUUUAUACGUGCUGUACUAUAAUACUUAUCCAAACAUAAACAUAAAUGAGGCAAACAUUAAAACACAACUCAACCAAUAUUCAAUCUUAGCCUUGUUGGGGUCAGCUAAAAGGAUCCUUUUCCUUCCAAUCUGCAAGGUUUAAGGGUGUAUUUGUAGAGAGGUCUAAUGCAUGAAUAAAUACAGAAAAAAGCGACUAAACUGGUCAACGGCUAAAAGUAAUUACUAAUUAAGGUUUAGACAGAAACCAAAACAAGAUGAUACUGCAGAAAUAUCAAUUAAAUUGCUCAUCAGCUAAAAGUAAUUGUUAAUCUGAAAAGCACAUUCAUGCAUAGAUUAUAUUUUAAUUUUAUUUCAUUUUAUUUUUGAAGGGGGUGUGUGGUGGCAGCAACCAGGAAAAGUACCAUUACAAAUAAUUCAAGAAGAUUAAG
This 458-nucleotide unclassified non-coding RNA is filed under the name Hevea brasiliensis (rubber tree). Lineage: Eukaryota; Viridiplantae; Streptophyta; Magnoliopsida; Malpighiales; Euphorbiaceae. The record is from RNAcentral.